UUAAAGAGUGCGUAAUAGCUCACUGGUCGAGUGACUCUGCGCCGAAAAUGUACCGGGGCUAAACGUAUCACCGAAGCUGUGGAUUGACAUCUUAGAUGUCAGUGGUAGGAGAGCGUUCUAAGUGCAGCGAAGUCAGACCGUAAGGACUGGUGGAGCGCUUAGAAGUGAGAAUGCCGGUAUGAGUAGCGAAAGACAAGUGAGAAUCUUGUCCACCGAAUGCCUAAGGUUUCCUGAGGAAGGCUCGUCCGCUCAGGG
RNAcentral lists this ribosomal RNA (255 nucleotides) under Priestia megaterium. RNAcentral's name for it is "partial 23S ribosomal RNA". It matches the Rfam family "Bacterial large subunit ribosomal RNA", at positions 1123 to 1379 of the family's 2925-position model. The record is from RNAcentral. Lineage: Bacteria; Bacillati; Bacillota; Bacilli; Caryophanales; Bacillaceae.